AUGUAAUGAUGAACUAUAUGUCUUUCUCCACUGACUUUCUAUGUUGUUCAAAGCAUUUUAAUACUGAUUCAUA
Molecule: small nucleolar RNA, 73 nt
Organism: Ctenopharyngodon idella (grass carp)
Lineage: Eukaryota; Metazoa; Chordata; Actinopteri; Cypriniformes; Xenocyprididae
Source: RefSeq, a predicted model, not a curated record